RNAcentral lists this ribosomal RNA (577 nucleotides) under uncultured bacterium. RNAcentral describes it as "partial 16S ribosomal RNA". It matches the Rfam family "Bacterial small subunit ribosomal RNA", at positions 355 to 932 of the family's 1533-position model. The record is from RNAcentral.
UGGGGAAUUUUGGACAAUGGGCGAAAGCCUGAUCCAGCAAUGCCGCGUGUGUGAAGAAGGCCUUCGGGUUGUAAAGCACUUUUGUCCGGAAAGAAAUCCUUGGCUCUAAUACAGUCGGGGGAUGACGGUACCGGAAGAAUAAGCACCGGCUAACUACGUGCCAGCAGCCGCGGUAAUACGUAGGGUGCAAGCGUUAAUCGGAAUUACUGGGCGUAAAGCGUGCGCAGGCGGUUUGCUAAGACCGAUGUGAAAUCCCGGGCUCAACCUGGGAACUGCAUUGGUGACUGGCAGGCUAGAGUAUGGCAGAGGGGGGUAGAAUUCCACGUGUAGCAGUGAAAUGCGUAGAGAUGUGGAGGAAUACCGAUGGCGAAGGCAGCCCCCUGGGCCAAUACUGACGCUCAUGCACGAAAGCGUGGGGAGCAAACAGGAUUAGAUACCCUGGUAGUCCACGCCCUAAACGAUGUCAACUAGUUGUUGGGGAUUCAUUCCUUAGUAACGUAGCUAACGCGUGAAGUUGACCGCCUGGGGAGUACGGUCGCAAGAUUAAAACUUAAAUGAAUUGACGGGGUCAUAGCUG